RNAcentral lists this ribosomal RNA (460 nucleotides) under uncultured bacterium. Its description in RNAcentral is "partial 16S ribosomal RNA". It matches the Rfam family "Bacterial small subunit ribosomal RNA", at positions 28 to 507 of the family's 1533-position model. The record is from RNAcentral.
GACGAACGCUGGCGGCGUGCUUAACACAUGCAAGUCGAGCGGUAAGGCCUCUUCGGGGGUCCACGAGCGGCGCACGGGUGCGUAACACGUGGGUGACCUGCCCUCAGCUCUGGGAUAAGCCUGGGAAACUGGGACUAAUACCGAAUCUGACCUUUCCUCUCAUGGGGUUUGUUGGAAAGUUUUUUCCGCUGUGGAUGGGCCGGCGGCCUAUCAGCUUGUUGGUGGGGGGAUGGCCUACCCAGGCGGCUACCGGGAGCCCGCCUGAGAGGGCGACCGGCCACACCGGGAGGGAGGCACCGGCCGGAAUCCUACGGGAGGGGGCAAGGGGGAAAAGGGGCAAAGGGGCGGGAGUGUGAAGGGGCUACGGAGCGUGGGGGAUGACGGCUUGGGGGGAGUAAACCUCUUACGAACCAGACGAGUUUGGACGGUAGGGGAAGAAGAAGCACCGGCCAACUACGUG